This is a transfer RNA of Clostridium sp. CAG:62, 72 nucleotides long. It matches the Rfam family "tRNA". From Rfam's summary of the family: Transfer RNA (tRNA) molecules are approximately 80 nucleotides in length. Their secondary structure includes four short double-helical elements and three loops (D, anti-codon, and T loops). The record is from Rfam. NCBI's taxonomy places the organism in Bacteria, Bacillati, Bacillota, Clostridia, Eubacteriales, Clostridiaceae.
GGUCCGUUGGUCAAGCGGCUAAGACGCUGCCCUCUCACGGCAGAAACAGGGGUUCGAUUCCCCUACGGACUA